AUGUUGAUACCAUCUCUACCAAACACUGUGACCACACAGAUUGGAAUAUCACCCCUUGUCUUCACAACUUACAUCUUACUCUUGUUCUUCUUAGCACUAUUAGGAACCAAUAACCUACAACUGCCAGCACCUCAGGACGUUUCCGCCUGUAAUUCAGACAUCUGCAUUUCAUAUCCCCUUCUCACCAGAUUAUCCCCUGAAGCACCAGUGUACCCCUAUGUCACUAAGGAUGUUAUGGUACUAGUGGUUUAUGAGCCUUCUCAGCUUGAAAGUAUAUGCAUCUGCUUUUUAUUUCCCCUAUUUUGGUUAUGGGGGUUGCAUGCAAUGUAAUAAGUUCAGAGCCUCAUUAGGUUUUUCUGCGUGGAUGUUCUCUUAUUGCAGCAUGCAUAUCGAGAUGGCCGUCUAGAGGAGGUAGUUCUACGUCAUCUUGGGUCUGAAGAUGGAGAAACUGUGAUAGCUAAAAAUAUUAGGCUGUCAGAGUUCCUUGGUAACAUGCGUAUAAGGUGAACAGAUGCUGUUUUAUAGUCUAGAGAUAUCUAAUGAUAUGGAGAAAUCAUGCGCCACUUCAAUUGCUGAGUUCUUUUCAAAUGCCAGUGUGGCACUCCAGUUGUUUUUGAGAUUUGCUUGCUGUAGGGGACCAGAACAUGGAGUGUUGGGCAUGCUAUACUAUUUAUCAAGGUGCAUCUUCUAUCAAAGUAAUAAAAAUCGUCAUGCAUUGGAUGGGUAUGUUUGAGAGUUCUCAUCAGCUGUCUAUUUAUGGGAUAAUGAUCUUUAGCAAUGGGCGUGCAAAUAGCCGUGUUGUUACCUAGUUGAAUGGUUCUCCCUCACCAACAGUGAUAUAUUUGGAACUGUUUAUAUAAUUGUUUUUUCUGGCUUCCAUUCUUGUCAAUAUGGAGCUGUGAUGACAUGUUCUGGGCAACAUUGUCUGAGGUCUUUUGUAUUCUAAUCUGAAUUUUUCUGCUGUUUGAGGACAUUGGAUCUUGCAGGAUGUAAAUGGGGUUUAGAGCUCCCUAAAAUCAAUUUCAUUUAUAGAUACUUAUAUCACUUGUUAUACAUGAAAGAUUAGCUUCCUCUC
This is an RNA transcript of Quercus robur (English oak), 1075 nucleotides long. RefSeq lists it as uncharacterized. The transcript has 5 exons. The record is from RefSeq and is a predicted model, not a curated record. Lineage: Eukaryota; Viridiplantae; Streptophyta; Magnoliopsida; Fagales; Fagaceae.